This 77-nucleotide transfer RNA is filed under the name Ruminococcaceae bacterium YAD3003. Its description in RNAcentral is "tRNA_Arg_ACG". It matches the Rfam family "tRNA". Rfam says of the family: Transfer RNA (tRNA) molecules are approximately 80 nucleotides in length. Lineage: Bacteria; Bacillati; Bacillota; Clostridia; Eubacteriales; Oscillospiraceae. RNAcentral also lists the same sequence under 6 other names. The record is from RNAcentral.
GCGCCUAUAGCUCAACUGGAUAGAGCGUCUGACUACGGAUCAGAAGGUUGUGGAUUCGAGCUCUGCUAGGCGCGCCA